CUACGGGUUGCUGCAGUGAGGAAUAUUGCACAAUGGGGGGAACCCUGAUGCAGCAACGCCGCGUGGAGGAUGACGCAUUUCGGUGUGUAAACUCCUUUUAUAUGUCAAGAAAAUGACGGUAGCAUAUGAAUAAGCACCGGCUAACUCCGUGCCAGCAGCCGCGGUAAUACGGAGGGUGCAAGCGUUACUCGGAAUCACUGGGCGUAAAGGACGCGUAGGCGGGCUUGUAAGUCAGGUGUGAAAUCCUACAGCUUAACUGUAGAACUGCACUUGAAACUACGAGCCUAGAGUAUGGGAGGGGGAGAUGGAAUUAGUGGUGUAGGGGUAAAAUCUGUAGAUAUCACUAGGAAUACCUAAAGCGAAGGCGAUCUCCUGGAACAUUACUGACGCUAAGGCGUGAGAGCGUGGGGAGCAAACAGGAUUAGAUACCCCCGUAGUC
RNAcentral lists this ribosomal RNA (439 nucleotides) under uncultured bacterium. Its description in RNAcentral is "partial 16S ribosomal RNA". It matches the Rfam family "Bacterial small subunit ribosomal RNA", at positions 339 to 795 of the family's 1533-position model. The record is from RNAcentral.